This is a non-coding RNA of Microcebus murinus (gray mouse lemur), 1650 nucleotides long. NCBI's taxonomy places the organism in Eukaryota, Metazoa, Chordata, Mammalia, Primates, Cheirogaleidae. The record is from RefSeq and is a predicted model, not a curated record.
UGGUUUAUUUUCAGGGUGAGUAUAUGAAAGAUUAAUAUUCUCUGUUUUAAUUAAAGACAUAUGCAUAAGCUUUGGCACUUGAUCAGACAUUGGGUCUGAUUAAGAAUGUUUUGUAAAGUGUAGGCCUGACAGUUGGCUUCAUUCAUACUUUUAUGGAAGUGAGGCUAUGAAGAUAGGCUUACAGUGAAUUGGGAGAAGAAUAUGAUUCAAUACAACCAUGCCUCAAUGCAACCACAUCUGAAAAGGAUAUCUCCAAGCUAGAUUUGUUUAUUAAACAAUCAUCAUUGAAUACCUCUGUGUCCCCAGGCACAGAGGGUGAGAAGAUGAAAUACAACAGUCCAUGCUUCCACCAAACACAAAGCCAUGUUUCUUUUUGAAAGCCUGUGCUCCUAUCAGCUGCCCCAGGAAUAACUGAGCAGAGAAAUAUGACUUGUCACCACUUCCACUAGAGGUGAUUUUCCUCCUGCAACUUUUACUAAGGAAAGUAAAAUCAAGGAACGAUCCUGUUAAUCCUUACGUGGUCAACGCAGAAAUAGUCAACACAUUGUUUCCUAAUGAAUCAACAUAUUCAAGAAACUGUACUGUAAUAAUGGACAGAAUUCAUUCUCUUAAGGAAUGUUGAAGUCACUUGUCAAAUGAGGGAUUGUGGGGGAUGAAAUACAUUGUAAUCAAGUGAAUUACAUGUGCUAACAAUUGUCUUAGAUAAUUUAACAUAAUUAUGUCAUAUAAUUCUCCCAAUAAUUUCAGAUUCUUUAUUCCUAUUUUCAUAGGAAACUGAGAUUCAGGCACAGUGAGGGCUGUCCAAUUUCAUUUAGCUACUGCAAAACCUUCCCUACCUAAUGUAAGGGACCAUGUACUUUUCAUUUUAUCACACUCAGAAUCUAGGAUAAUUCAUACAAAAAUGAUUCAGCAUCUUAAUGUGUAUUUUGCCUUAAAGUUUAUGAAGUGUUAUCAUAUGCAUCAUCUCAUGUGAUGUUUAUAAUUACUCUUGUUCUUGGCAUUCAAUUGAUAAAAUGUUUUGAAAAGAAUCAUGAAUUAGAAUCUUUUUGAUGUCUUUUCAAUAAGAAUUAAUGUAAUGUAACUAGGUGUAUUUCAGAGACAGAAAAAUGAAACAAAGAUCAAAGAGCUUAGUUAAGGAAAUGCUAUUGUGUUACACUUCUCAAGAUAUUUCAGUGAGAUAUUGUGGACCACCUGGUUAUUUUGCAGAACUAAACCCAAAGAGACAUUACUCAAGUAUUUUUAUAAUUAGUAUCAUUUCUCUCCUACUUCCAGCUCAGUUAAUGACAGUAUUUAUAGGGAAUUUUGGCUAUAACAGAGAGACAUGUAUGUGGAUGAUCAUGAAAAUUAUGGUGAGCAGUCAUUCAUUAUUUGAUUUCCUAACGUGUGGACUGAGUCACUCUAGGAGUAAAAUACUCUACUUCUAAAUAUUAUGUCACCAUUUUACUAUAUUAGCAUUAAAAACAAGAACUUUUUUAUUUUGAAAUAAUUUUAAACUCUGCAUUGAAGUGCCAAACAGUAGUGUUCUAUGUACCCUUCACCUCUAGCAUUCCCCAAUGAUAGUAUCUUGUAUAACUAUAAUACAAUGAUCAAAAUUUUCAAAUUUGAUAAUACUAUUAACUAAACUACAUAUUAUAUUCAAUUUUACCUGUU